Molecule: ribosomal RNA, 1148 nt
Filed under: feces metagenome
Description: bacterial SSU rRNA
Rfam family: Bacterial small subunit ribosomal RNA
Source: RNAcentral
AGAGUUUGAUCCUGGCUCAGGAUGAACGCUAGCGGCAGGCCUAAUACAUGCAAGUCGGACGGGAUUCCAGUGUAGCUUGCUAUACUGGAUGAGAGUGGCGCACGGGUGCGUAACGCGUGAGCAACCUGCCCAUGUCAGGGGGAUAGCCCGUUGAAAGACGGAUUAAUACCGCAUAACACAUAAGUACCGCAUGGUUCUUAUGUCAAAUAUUUAUAGGACAUGGAUGGGCUCGCGUGGCAUUAGCUAGUUGGUAAGGUAACGGCUUACCAAGGCAAUGAUGCCUAGGGGCUCUGAGAGGAGUGACCCCCACACUGGUACUGAGACACGGACCAGACUCCUACGGGAGGCAGCAGUAGGGAAUAUUGGUCAAUGGGCGGGAGCCUGAACCAGCCAUGCCGCGUGCGGGAAGAAGGCCCUAUGGGUCGUAAACCGCUUUUAUACGGGAACAACCGCAUGUACGUGUACGUGCCUGAGUGUACCGUAGGAAUAAGGAUCGGCUAACUCCGUGCCAGCAGCCGCGGUAAUACGGAGGAUCCGAGCGUUAUCCGGAAUUAUUGGGUUUAAAGGGUGCGUAGGCGGCACUUUAAGUCAGGGGUGAAAUACAGCGGCUCAACCGUUGCAGUGCCCUUGAUACUGAAGUGCUUGAAUUCGGACGAAGGAGGCGGAACGGGACAAGUAGCGGUGAAAUGCAUAGAUAUGUCCCAGAACCCCGAUUGCGAAGGCAGCUUCCUAGGCCGAUAUUGACGCUGAUGCACGAAAGCGUGGGGAUCGAACAGGAUUAGAUACCCUGGUAGUCCACGCCCUAAACGAUGAUGACUCGAUGUUUGCGAUAUAUUGUAAGCGUCCAAGCGAAAGCGUUAAGUCAUCCACCUGGGGAGUACGAUCGCAAGAUUGAAACUCAAAGGAAUUGACGGGGGCCCGCACAAGCGGAGGAGCAUGUGGUUUAAUUCGAUGAUACGCGAGGAACCUUACCCGGGCUUGAAAGUUAGCGACGGUUGCAGAGACGCAACUUCCCUUCGGGGCGCGAAACUAGGUGCUGCAUGGCUGUCGUCAGCUCGUGCCGUGAGGUGUUGGGUUAAGUCCCGCAACGAGCGCAACCCCUAUGUUUAGUUGCCAGCACGUUAAGGUGGGGACUCUAAACAGACUGC